CAGGCUGCUCUGGUGCGACACAAUGAUCGCUGCGUUGCUUCUCCGUCCAAACUCUAACCCUAGCUCGCGAUUCUCCGGCAUGGACGUCUCCCUCUACGGUCGACGGCGUCGCUUUUUCGUAAGAAAUUCCCCCGUUUCUUGCUUCUUUUUCUUCUCUAGCAAGAAAUGGGAUUCCUUAGCUGGUGAUUUCGUGCUUCGAGCCGCCGUUGAAGAUCGCGGAGAAUCCUAACGCGUCUUGAGGUCGAGGAACAAGCGCAUGAAAACGUCGGAUGAUAAUUCCUUAGCUGGUUAGAUGUUUAAUGUCAUUUACAAGUAUGUCAUCCUUGUCUUGGUUUUGUCAUGCUCGAAAUCAGUAAGCUAAAUUGCAUCACAUAUGCCCAAUGUUACAAGGCGCAAAACUUGGUUGGAUUCCACUAUAUUGUAUAUCUGGCUGUUAAUUUGGGAGAAUGUGGAAAGAAUGAGAACUCUGGAGUUUUUUUAAGCUAUUUGGUGUUCAAACAAGAUAUUAUAUGAUAUUGGUUAUGCUUUUGCAAUUCGUUUGGAUUCUGAACUAGUAAUAACUAUCCAAUGAGUAAGAUCUCUUGGUUGAAGACCAAAAAAGUAUCCUAAUUUAUUCAUGUUGAUACUUGGUAGACUUGGAAGUUACAAAGCAUUUAAGUAGCCACAGUUGUUUUACUUCCAAGUCCUAUUUAAAUCUUAGUAGAUAAGCUGCCGAGCAGCACUAAAAUUCCUUCAAG
Molecule: long non-coding RNA, 737 nt
Filed under: Musa acuminata (dwarf banana)
Lineage: Eukaryota; Viridiplantae; Streptophyta; Magnoliopsida; Zingiberales; Musaceae
Description: long non-coding RNA (MACU_LNC003357)
Source: RNAcentral